AUUGAACGCUGGCGGCAGGCUUAACACAUGCAAGUCGAGCGGGGGAAGGUAGCUUGCUAUCGGACCUAGCGGCGGACGGGUGAGUAAUGCUUAGGAAUCUGCCUAUUAGUGGGGGACAACAUCUCGAAAGGGAUGCUAAUACCGCAUACGUCCUCCGGGAGAAAGCAGGGGAUCUUCGGACCUUGCGCUAAUAGAUGAGCCUAAGUCGGAUUAGCUAGUUGGUGGGGUAAAGGCCUAACAAGGCGACGAUCUGUAGCGGGUCUGAGAGGAUGAUCCGCCACACUGGGAGUGAGACCCGGCCCAGACUCUGACGGGAGGCAGCGGUGGGGAAUAUUGGACAAUGGGGGAACCCUGAUCCAGCCAUGCCGGGUGUGUAAAGAAGGCCUUAUGGUUGUAAAGCACUUUAGGCGAGGAAAAGGCUAAUUUAGUUACUACCUAGAGAUAGUGGACGUUACUCGCAGAAUAAGCACCGGCUAACUCUGUGCCAGCAGCCGCCGUAA
This 500-nucleotide ribosomal RNA is filed under the name uncultured bacterium. RNAcentral describes it as "partial 16S ribosomal RNA". It matches the Rfam family "Bacterial small subunit ribosomal RNA", at positions 30 to 523 of the family's 1533-position model. The record is from RNAcentral.